This 253-nucleotide ribosomal RNA is filed under the name uncultured bacterium. RNAcentral describes it as "partial 16S ribosomal RNA". It matches the Rfam family "Bacterial small subunit ribosomal RNA", at positions 524 to 776 of the family's 1533-position model. The record is from RNAcentral.
UACGUAGGUGGCAAGCGUUGUCCGGAUUUAUUGGGGUUAAAGGGUGCGUAGGCGGUCUAUUAAGUCAGUUGUGAAAUACGGCAGCUCAACUGUCGAGGUGCAAUUGAUACUGAUGGACUUGAGUACUGAUGAGGUAAGCGGAAUGGACGGUGUAGCGGUGAAAUGCUUAGAUAUCGUCCAGAACACCGAUAGCGAAGGCAGCUUACUAAGGAGUAACUGACGCUGAGGCACGAAAGUGUGGGGAUCAAACAGG